Molecule: ribosomal RNA, 253 nt
Filed under: uncultured bacterium
Lineage: Bacteria
Description: partial 16S ribosomal RNA
Rfam family: Bacterial small subunit ribosomal RNA
Source: RNAcentral
UACGUAGGGUGCAAGCGUUGUCCGGAAUUAUUGGGCGUAAAGAGCUCGUAGGCGGUUUGUCGCGUCUGCUGUGAAAACUCGGGGCUUAACCCCGGGCCUGCAGUGGGUACGGGCAGACUAGAGUGCGGUAGGGGAGACUGGAAUUCCUGGUGUAGCGGUGAAAUGCGCAGAUAUCGGGAGGAACACCGGUGGCGAAGGCGGUUCUCUGGGCCUGUACUGACGCUGAGGAGCGAAAGCGUGGGGAGCGAACAGG